AUGGCCAUCUUCGACGAAUUCUAUGUUGGGUCCAUCGACCUUGGGCGCCUCAACUAUGGGAUCAUCUCGCUGAUCCCAAAGGUGCCUGGGGCGUCCGACAUCCGCCAGUUUCAUCCAAUCACGGUGAUUAAUGUGAUCUUCUGGAUCCUGGCAAAAGGGUUCGCCAAUAGGGUGACCCUUCUUGCCGACCUCAUUACCCACCCCAACCAAUCUACCUUCAUUCAAGGCCAGUAUAUCCUGGAUGGGGUGCUAGUCCUUCAUGAAGUCCUGCAUGAGGUCCGAUCAAAGCACCUCAGGGCGGUCUUCCUGAAGAUCAAUUUCCAUAAGGCUUACGACAAUGUUAGCUGGCCCUUCCUUCGAGAAGUUUUG
RNAcentral lists this ribosomal RNA (369 nucleotides) under Triticum aestivum (bread wheat). Its description in RNAcentral is "partial small subunit ribosomal RNA". The record is from RNAcentral. Lineage: Eukaryota; Viridiplantae; Streptophyta; Magnoliopsida; Poales; Poaceae.